AAUUUUCUCUCUUUAUUCGAACUUUGUGAAAAAUAACCAAACAUUAGCAUUAUAUUUCAUUGACUGGUCUCUGGACCAUAAAUAAGGUUGAGAGUUCAAACUAUUAUUUGGACGAAACCAAUAUUAGGGCAUCUCCAUCAGUGAGAUACCUUCUUGGUUUAUCAAAAAAAA
This 171-nucleotide small RNA is filed under the name Arabidopsis thaliana (thale cress). RNAcentral's name for it is "ATSL294310". The record is from RNAcentral. Lineage: Eukaryota; Viridiplantae; Streptophyta; Magnoliopsida; Brassicales; Brassicaceae.